CACGUAUGCAAUCCGCCCUCAACUGGGGGAUAGCUCCCGGAAACGGGAAUUAAUACCCCAUAACAUGCCAGCGAGGCAUCUUGCUGGCAUUAAAGCUACGGCGGUUGAGGAUGAGCAUGCGUCUGAUUAGCUAGUUGGUGAGGUAACGGCUCACCAAGGCGAUGAUCAGUAGGGGAACUGAGAGGUUGAUCCCCCACACUGGCACUGAGACACGGGCCAAACUCCUACGGGAGGCAGCAGUAGGGAAUAUUGGACAAUGGGUGCGAGCCUGAUCCAGCCAUGCCGCGUGCAGGAAGAAGGCCUUCUGGGUUGUAAACUGCAUUUAUCUGGGAAUAAAAAACCCGUGCGCGGGGAACUGAAGGUACCAGAUGAAUGAGCCACGGCUAACUACGUGCCAGCAGCCGCGGUAAUACGUAGGUGGCGAGCGUUGUCCGGAUUCAUUGGGUUUAAAGGGUGCGUAGGCGGCUGAUUAAGUCAGUGCUGAAAGCCCCCGGCUUAACCGGGGAGGUGGCAUUGAUACUGGUCGGCUUGAGUGCUGUCGAGGCAGGCGGAAUUUGACGGUGUAGCGGUGAAAUGCUUAGAUAUCGUCAGGAACACCGAUAGUGAAGACAGCUUGCCAGAGAGCAACUGACGCUGAGGCACGAAAGUGUGGGGAGCAAACAGGAUUAGAUACCC
RNAcentral lists this ribosomal RNA (675 nucleotides) under uncultured Bacteroidota bacterium. Its description in RNAcentral is "bacterial SSU rRNA". It matches the Rfam family "Bacterial small subunit ribosomal RNA", at positions 114 to 787 of the family's 1533-position model. The record is from RNAcentral. Lineage: Bacteria; Pseudomonadati; Bacteroidota.